GGGUCAGUAGGUUGGUCGUGCCACCGGUACGUACUGGUCUCACUGAUUCCUCCUUCCUGAAGAACCGUAAUGCCAUUAAUUUGGUGUUGCGGGGAAACAGGACUGUUACUUUGAAAAAAUUCGAGUGUUUAAAGCAAGCUAACGCUUGAAUACAUUAGCAUGGAAUAAUGAAAUAGGACGAUCGAUCCUAUUUUGUCGGUUUCUAGGAUUGACGUA
Molecule: ribosomal RNA, 216 nt
Filed under: Glomeromycotina sp.
Lineage: Eukaryota; Fungi; Glomeromycota
Description: partial small subunit ribosomal RNA
Rfam family: Eukaryotic small subunit ribosomal RNA (bases 44-216)
Source: RNAcentral